This 815-nucleotide long non-coding RNA is filed under the name Takifugu rubripes (torafugu). RNAcentral's name for it is "lncRNA (ENSTRUG00000027630.1)". Lineage: Eukaryota; Metazoa; Chordata; Actinopteri; Tetraodontiformes; Tetraodontidae. The record is from RNAcentral.
CGCCACUCUGAGACUGAGCUGAAUUUGUAUUCCCGUUGCUCUUGUGUGAUUAGGGUGUCAGUGAUCCUUCAACCCACUUCUUCUUUUGUGUUUCCAGUGGCUCCAUUACAGUCAGAUGGUGGCCCCUGGAGCAAUGCAGGACGUACACAGAAGGGACUGGGUUGGAUUUGGAUUGCCUUAAGACUGUUCUUCACAUGAGAGUAGACAAGGAUAAAACUUGUAGGAACCAGAUGGAUCCUCCAAACCACGAGGGGGCAGCAUUUCAAGCUGACAUGAACUGGAGAGCUCUCUCAACGUAUCGUGGACAUCUCGGAAGCUUCUAGACUGCAGGAACUGUGACUUCAAGCUGAGGUGAAACCGCAGAAAACGCUGGCCCACAAGAACCCACAAGAACAGCGGAGAAGGAUCUAAAGAAUCAUAAAAGCAGCUCGUUCCAGCUCCUGUUCUACACAGUCCUACAUGUCUGAUGAUUGAGGUCCUUGAAAACAGAAGUGAAACUGGAGCUUUUUGGCUUCACGCAGUUAAAUCUUCCCCUGGAUGAUCUGCGUCUGCCUCGUGUCGUCUUUAUGUCAGAGCCGGAUGGCUGGAGCUUGACUAUCAAGGCAACAAUUCUGAGAUUAUGACAAAGGAAUAAUCAAAAUUUACUGGUAUUGUCAAGCCAAUUAUAGCUCUGCUUCCUGCCUCGAUGGGGAUUUCUGGAAUAUAAUUACAGAAACAACACAUAAACAAUAAUAAGUCAACCCCCUGGAAGGCUGCCCCUCCCCCGUCCGGCCCCUUUGUACAACACAAGAAUCCAAAUCUUUCAAAUGGAGAAA